Molecule: non-coding RNA, 3164 nt
Organism: Rattus norvegicus (Norway rat)
Lineage: Eukaryota; Metazoa; Chordata; Mammalia; Rodentia; Muridae
Source: RefSeq, a predicted model, not a curated record
UUUCUUGUUUUCCAGGUAAUGAAUAAAAACAGAAUUGUUUUUUUACAAAAUGUUCUUAGUGUUUCCUGCAAACCGUGAGACGGGUGUGUUUCUCACCUCCCACUCUCAUAUGCACUUGCUUCUUAUCUCCCAUCCCCAUCUGACAUGUGCCUGGCACUUGCUGUGUAGCCGGCCUGGCUUAAAAUUUGUUUCUAUACUUCCUUCUCUGCCUGCCAGUUCUGUGAUGACAAGUGUGCACCAUGCACGACUUUCCACACUUUAUUUGCACUUAUCUAUGACCGUUGCCCUAUACAACAUCUCUGUCCUAAAUGGCAUCUUCCCUCCUUCCUCCCUUCCUUCCCUUCACCAGUCAAUUUCUUCAGAAACACCAGAAGGAUCUAAAAUAAAAAUAUUAUAUUACCAAUCUCUUAAAAAUGUUUUGGGCCAGUGACAUGAUUCAGUCGGUAAAAUGGCCAGCCAGGGCCCACAUGGUGAAAAGGAGAACCAACUAUCCCAUGCUGUCUUCUUGCCUUUACACACAAGCUCAUGCUCACACACAUAAACACACACACAAGCACGCACACACUCUGUGGCGCUCAGAUUAUACACUCAUAGAUAAACAAAUGCAAUAAUUUUUAAAUGUAUUGUCCUCGUUGCCUUCUGAAGACUCUAUACUAUAGAACACGAGAGUAAGACCCUUCAUUGUCUGACUCACCGGUCUACUUUAGCCAGUCUCUGCAUCCCAGCUCUCCUCACAGCCAGCAGCUAUCUCACUCUGUCUUCAUCUCCACAUCCAGCCAAGACACAGUCUUCUUUUUCUGAUUCAAAGGCCCUCCUCUUCCGUCUUAUGAAGUCUUGAUGUCUGAAUAUUGGAACUUCCACAGCACUAUUACCUCAGGCCACUCCCACUGAUAGACCAAAGACUAGGCAACUUUAUAAGGAAAAUUAAUCUGCUUUGGGCUCAUGGACCUGAAUUACAAGUCUAAAGUCUGCAUUUUAUGAUGGUUCUCUUGCUGGUAGAAUUCAAGGGACUACUGGGUAUGAUGGUUUAGCUAGAUCGCCUAAUUUGAUGGAAUGGAGAGAUGCCUAUGAAAUUGUUAAAUCACCUGUCAAGGCCUUCAAAGGAGGUGGAUAAUGAAAGAAAGAGCCUCAAAUCCAAGCCAGCACGAUCAGUGAACAUCUGAGGGUAGAGUGUAAAAUAGAGAACAUUCUAAGAUCUCACUUUGUGAAAAGCAGACAGCUCAUCAUUACAUCAGCCCAGUAGUCCACUAAUGCAUCAUGCAUGUGAGAGCAGCCAGUCUGAGGACUAUGAGUUUCUCCAAGGAAGAUCAAGGAUAAGGAUGUGCUGAAAGGAAGAAAUGGUGACUUGUUUCCAGCAUAAUUUUACUGUACGCUUUCUUAAAUAAGAGCAUAAGUCCGAUUGGGCUCAAAAUGUUAAGACCAUCCCUCCAAAAGACAAAUGAAUUGUCAAUGUUCCUUUGUGAAUAUUCAUUCGGUAAAAUUAUUUCUACAUUUAUGUACAUUUUUAUUUACACAAUUUACCACUACAGAAUCAUUUCAUAAUACGUGUUCUGAAUCAAAAGUAAAUCAAUAAAAUUUAGUGUCUCCCUUCAAGGACAUCAUAGUGUACAACAAAGAGAAAACAUUUAUGUGAAGAAUGGAAGAAAUGGAGCAGAGGUGAGGACGAGGGAUUUGAACUGAGUUGAAGUCUGUGCUCUGAAUCCACCAACUAUGAUAGCAGGGUUGCCUUAUUUGAAGUAGUGAGAACCCAAGAAGAGUAUUUUCCCACCUACAGACUGAAGAAUACUCUUCUCAACCUCCAAGUAAAUAAACCACACUUAGCAAUGCACUGAACGCUUUCAUCUGCAAGAAAAAAGUUCCAGACUACUAGCCUUAGGCACAUUGAAAGCAUCAUGGCACCAUACCUUUGAGUCUUCUGUGUUAAAGAUGUAGGCCAUAGGAAGAAUUCAUUAUGUGUACCACAUAAUGAUGAUCUCACAAAAGAAAAAAACUGCACUUAAUGAUAUUUGGCUACAUAGCGAGAUGCCUGAAUACUCUGGGGCUAGUAAAAUCUGGCUCAGUUAUUCUAACACAGUGGGCUGAAAUACGCAACAGCUAGGGGGAAACAGGCUUCUAGGUGUGCAAUAGCCGGUGACUGACAUUGAUCUGCACUGAAUCUGAGCAUAGGGAGCCUGACAAAAUAGAACAGUGGAAGGUGGCAAACAUAUGAGAAAGGAGUAUGGACUUAGUCGGUAGAGACACUUUAGAAGGUAUCUGUCUUCAUUUCAUAACACGCCCAACAGCUGGAGGCCUACCUCUUCCUGGAAAUAAAGGUUAACCCUACCCCUUUCUGAGGUCAACAUGUCUGCACAGCCUUCUAGCUCAGGAGCACUUCUGGGUUACUUUUUUUAAGCAUGUAAAUUUCCUUAUAAUUAUGGAAUAGUCCUAACUCCCAAUCUCACUCCAAUUUGCCAAUAAAAGGACAGCCCAGUUCACUAAUUAGCAGGAGACUAAGUGGUAGAAUUAUUCUUAUAAACCUAUAUCCAUCCUAACUCUCCCUCACUUUGAGUAUAAAAAGGGAGGCUAGGGAGAAUUGUUAGUACUUGGGAGAGACACAGAGACAUUGUGAACCCAGCCUGAAAAAUCAAUUAAGAAAAAGAAGACAGUUUGAGUGAGAUUCUGGUUUUCCUCAGCAGUCAGUGAAGGGUACCCCUGUUAUUGAUAGACUGCUAUGGGGCUGCUGUGCCUCCAUGAGCUCAUGUAGUCCAGUGCUGGCAUCCUGGAAGUGUAUAAGUUAAUAAUGAUGCCCAGUAAUGCUGCAUACAAGAUUUUUGACAUCUUCACACUGGGACUAAUAAUCUCUUGCUUUUCUUAAAGCAUUCCCAGUACCAUGUUAUUUUGGAACAUACUACUCAAAUCUGGAAUGGUAGCACAGGCUGUUGUUUUCUAAAUAAUUCUCUGGUUUUAGAUUCUGAAUAUCCUCAUCUUCAAAACAUUCUUAGCAGUGCUGGAGUCGAGUUCCAACACAAACUUGUCAAUAAUCUAUGUGGGCUGCUUGACGCUUCAUCCCAAACAAAUACAUAGUUCUGCAGUCAAUACUUGUGGAGGUAAAACAAAAUUAGUUUGUGAUAUGCCAUCAUUACUCAGUAUUGUUUAUAAGCAAUAAAAAUUUGGCUCAAUAGAAA